This 499-nucleotide ribosomal RNA is filed under the name uncultured archaeon. Its description in RNAcentral is "bacterial SSU rRNA". It matches the Rfam family "Archaeal small subunit ribosomal RNA", at positions 370 to 870 of the family's 1478-position model. The record is from RNAcentral.
AUAAGGGUACUCCUAGUGCUUAUGCUUCGGCAUGGGCUUUUGCCAAGUGUAAAUAGCUUGGCGAAUAAGUGGUGGGUAAGACGGGUGCCAUCCGCCGCGGUAACACCUGCGCCACGAGUGGCGAUCACAUUUAUUGGGCCUAAAGCGUUCGUAGCCGGAUAGUUAAGUCCUGAGUGAAAUCGUUGAGCUCAACGAAACGACGUGCUCGGGAUACUGGCUUUCUAGGGACCGGGAGGGGCUAGAGGUAUUCUUGAGGGAGCGGUUAAAUGCUAUAAUCUCAAGAGGACCACCUGUGGCGAAGGCGUCUAGCCAGAACGGAUCCGACGGUGAGGAACGAAAGCUAGGGGAGCAAACCGGAUUAGAUACCCGAGUAGUCCUAGCCGUAAACGCUGUGUACUAGAUGUUGCAUAUUUUUCGUGAUUAUGCAGUGUCGGAGCGAAGGCGUUAAGUACACCGCCUGGGAAGUACGGUCGCAAGCUGAAACUCAAAGGAAUUGACG